Molecule: transfer RNA, 79 nt
Filed under: Cupriavidus sp.
Lineage: Bacteria; Pseudomonadati; Pseudomonadota; Betaproteobacteria; Burkholderiales; Burkholderiaceae
Description: tRNA-Gly
Rfam family: tRNA
About the family: Transfer RNA (tRNA) molecules are approximately 80 nucleotides in length. Their secondary structure includes four short double-helical elements and three loops (D, anti-codon, and T loops).
Source: RNAcentral
GGGCCGGUCGUUCAAACGGUAUAAGGACGCCGGGCUUCCACGCCGGGAAAUCUAGGUUCGAGUCCUAGCAGGUCCGCCA